CUCAACAAGUAAAUAUUAAUCUAUAUAUUGUCGUAAUGUGGUCGACAGUCUCUACUCAGAACCGUAAAUUCUGAACUAUGGAUAAACAAUAGCAAUUA
This is a regulatory RNA element of Lactobacillus apis, 98 nucleotides long. It matches the Rfam family "Purine riboswitch aptamer". Rfam says of the family: Riboswitches are metabolite binding domains within certain messenger RNAs that serve as precision sensors for their corresponding targets. Allosteric rearrangement of mRNA structure is mediated by ligand binding, and this results in modulation of gene expression. The record is from Rfam. NCBI's taxonomy places the organism in Bacteria, Bacillati, Bacillota, Bacilli, Lactobacillales, Lactobacillaceae.